This 185-nucleotide non-coding RNA is filed under the name Desulfobacterales bacterium. RNAcentral describes it as "6S RNA". It matches the Rfam family "6S / SsrS RNA". Rfam says of the family: E. coli 6S RNA was the first non coding RNA to be sequenced, but its function was unknown until recently. It consists of 184 nucleotides that fold into an extended hairpin structure with a large single-stranded internal bulge. Lineage: Bacteria; Pseudomonadati; Thermodesulfobacteriota; Desulfobacteria; Desulfobacterales. The record is from RNAcentral.
AGAUCCCUGCCGUGUUCGUGAUCGGUAGAAGUUUUUUGAGCCAACACGUACUCAAACGGGAACCUUUCCUUGCUUUGGUGUGCAUGUUCUGUGGUUUACAGAAAAGCCUAAAGAAGCAACAAGGUGCCCACCUGUACAAAUAGGUUCAAGAAAAUCUGCUGACACGGCAUUAUGGCGGGGGACAC